GCUAGUGGAGCGAACCGGGUGAACUGAAACAUCUCAGUAGCUCGAGGAAAAGAAAUCAACCGAGAUUCCGAAAGUAGUGGCGAGCGAAAUCGGAUGAGCCUUUACGUUUUAGCGCGCAGGAUAGUCGAACGGAAUGGAAAGUCCGGCCGUAGCAGGUGAUAGCCCUGUAGACGAAAUUCUGUGUGUGGAACUAAGCGUAAGACAAGUAGGGCGGGACACGUGAAAUCCUGUUUGAAGAUGGGGGGACCAUCCUCCAAGGCUAAAUACUCGUGAUCGACCGAUAGUGAACCAGUACCGUGAGGGAAAGGCGAAAAGAACCCCGGAAGGGGAGUGAAAUAGAUCCUGAAACCGUAUGCAUACAAACAGUAGGAGCCUCCUUGUGGGGUGACUGCGUACCUUUUGUAUAAUGGGUCAGCGACUUACAUUCAGUGGCAAGGUUAACCGAAUAGGGAAGCCGUAGCGAAAGCGAGUCCGAAUAGGGCGAAUUAGUCGCUGGGUGUAGACCCGAAACCAGAUGAUCUAUCCAUGGCCAGGUUGAAGGCACGGUAACACGUGCUGGAGGACCGAACCCACUAAUGUUGAAAAAUUAGGGGAUGAGCUGUGGAUAGGGGUGAAAGGCUAAACAAAUCUGGAAAUAGCUGGUUCUCUCCGAAAACUAUUUAGGUAGUGCCUCAAGUAUUACUGCGGGGGGUAGAGCACUGUUAUAGCUAGGGGGUCAUGGCGACUUACCAAACUAUGGCAAACUCCGAAUACCCGCAAGUACAGCUUGGGAGACAGAGCACCGGGUGCUAACGUCCGGACUCAAGAGGGAAACAACCCAGACCGCCAGCUAAGGUCCCAAAUUAUCGCUAAGUGGGAAACGAAGUGGGAAGGCAUAGACAGUCAGGAGGUUGGCUUAGAAGCAGCCAUCCUUUAAAGAAAGCGUAAUAGCUCACUGAUCGAGUCGUCCUGCGCGGGAAGAUGUAACGGGGCUAAGCGAUAAACCCGAAAGCU
RNAcentral lists this ribosomal RNA (993 nucleotides) under Achromobacter xylosoxidans. Its description in RNAcentral is "bacterial LSU rRNA". It matches the Rfam family "Bacterial large subunit ribosomal RNA", at positions 170 to 1201 of the family's 2925-position model. The record is from RNAcentral. Lineage: Bacteria; Pseudomonadati; Pseudomonadota; Betaproteobacteria; Burkholderiales; Alcaligenaceae.